AUGGCACCACUGCAAGCACGGCUCCACGAUCAGAUCAAAGAUAGCAUGGUUUUGAUCAACAUCAAGCCACCCAAAAAAGCAUCAGUAGGAAAAAAUAAAAAUGAUAAAGGGAUUUUUGUUAUGGGUACUAUUAUUGUUCUACAACCCUACUUUAUGUAUGUUGUGGCGGAUCCUGCUUCUUUUCAUGGAGAAGGUCAAUUGAAGCUCCUGAUUGACUGUCUUGAGGGAACAAAGCUGGAACUUACUAGACCGCAGAUACAUUUGACUGAAGGUAUUGCUGGGAUCCGCUGUCCCAACCCUGGUGGGUACAACACACAACUCAUGAGGGCAGUUCCUUUAUGUCGAAGUGUCAUUGCAAAGCGCCAGCGCGUCCAUCUCUUCAGUCCGGAACAGAUGCUGCUCACUUCUGGUACAGUAAUGGGAGUCAGUGGCCCGACUUUCCAGCAUAAUUGCUCUACGCUCGAAUCGUCGUCGCUUGGGGCACCCGUUGUUAAUGACAAUGGUCAUCUGGUUGGGAUAUGUAACGAUUUCAGAAAUGAUUACCUUGAGGCUAUAAGCACUCAUGCAAUUGCGUCUGAAAUUGAGAUGGCCCAAGGAAGGGAAUACAUAGGCAUUGGCCAGAUGUUGGAUCAUUUGCAAAGCUAG
Molecule: ribosomal RNA, 645 nt
Filed under: Triticum aestivum (bread wheat)
Lineage: Eukaryota; Viridiplantae; Streptophyta; Magnoliopsida; Poales; Poaceae
Description: partial small subunit ribosomal RNA
Source: RNAcentral